ACAGGUGCAUUCGAAGAACCGAAUUAGCCAGAUGCUGAUUAGCAUGAUGAUAUCAUCAUCUUGGAUGUGACAUUUCAUCUCAGUUGUAUUAAGUGACGUAUGAAGAACAGACCCCUGUGCUGCAUUGGAUAUAUUUACAUACCACAAACAAUACAGCAAUAAAAUCUUUGAGUAGACACUCUUAUUGUCACCACAAUAUACAUUUCAUACCACCCAACCCUAAAAUAACUUUUUCUUUAUCAGGAUCCGGUGACAACUAGGGGGUGUCGACAAACUUCCAUUGAGGACCAUCAGACCACUCAAGAAGAAUUACCUCAUAUAACCAAGAUUUAAUGUUGUAAAGCAGAUUUUGAGCGGAUCUCCUUCAUUCUGCCGCCAGCUCCCCAGACCCUCUGGGUGCACCAGUUGUGGAUAUUACAGGCCAAACUUUGGUUUUCACAUUGUUUGGAGGACAACAUCGGGCAGGAUGUAGGGGCCCACAGUUUGGGCACACAUACACAGGGCAGCUUUGGACACCCUAGGACAACAUGCUAAGAAGCACAGAUCUACCGAUAGCCCUCCAUCAUUCCCACAUCCAUCUUGCAACAAAGUUUCAUUAAGUGCAGUCCAUAAUCAGUGUCUGCCAAACACGGCCUGCAUCUUGUCCAUUGCAGAUGUUAUGGAUUAUUCUAUUAGAGAUCUUUCUAUUAAUGUUAAUAUGUUAAUAUGUAGUCUGUUAUGUUGUGAAUAAAGUCAACCCCCCCUCA
This is a long non-coding RNA of Cyprinus carpio (common carp), 746 nucleotides long. RefSeq lists it as uncharacterized. NCBI's taxonomy places the organism in Eukaryota, Metazoa, Chordata, Actinopteri, Cypriniformes, Cyprinidae. The transcript has 3 exons. The record is from RefSeq and is a predicted model, not a curated record.